AGAGAGAGACAUGCGCGCAUAUCAAUAAGCGGAGGAAAAGAAACUAACAAGGAUUCCCCUAGUAACGGCGAGUGAAGCGGGAAGAGCUCAAAUUUGAAAUCUUAAAGGGUUUCCCUUUACGAAUUGUAGUUUAAAGAAGUGUUUUCUGUUGAGGUUUUGGUAAAAGUUCUUUGGAAUAGGACAUCAUAGAGGGUGAGAAUCCCGUAUUUGACCUUUACUUUCAACUUUGUGAUACACUUUCAAAGAGUCGGAUUGUUUGGGAAUGCAGUCCAAAAUGGGUGGUAAAUUUCAUCUAAAGCUAAAUAUUGGCGAGAGACCGAUAGCGAACAAGUACCGUGAGGGAAAGAUGAAAAGAACUUUGAAAAGAGAGUUAAACAGUACGUGAAAUUGUCAAAAGGGAAGCGUUUGACACCAGUGUUGUUUUUCUGAAAAUCAAUUAAAGAACUGUUUAUGCUAAGCUGUUUAGACUUUAUCAGCUAUCUGUUUAGUUUUGAGCUUUCCUUUAAUGCACUUUUCAGUUAACAAGUCAACAUCAAUUUCUUUUGCUGUAAAAAAGCUUGAGGAAGGUGGCUUGAGAUUCGUCUUAAGUGUUUAUAGCCUCUUGCCUAUGCAGUCGGAGAGAUUGAGGUCUGCAGCGUAGAUCCUUCGGGGCUAAAUGCAUUUGUGCUAAGUUAUAGCAUUUUAUAGACAACUUGUUGACUAUGAUUUGUCUUGUAGCUUACUCGCUUAUGUUAUUUUACCUACGCUUAGGAUGUUGACGCAUGAGAUAUACGC
RNAcentral lists this ribosomal RNA (774 nucleotides) under uncultured Neocallimastigales. RNAcentral describes it as "partial large subunit ribosomal RNA". It matches the Rfam family "Eukaryotic large subunit ribosomal RNA", at positions 23 to 647 of the family's 3401-position model. Lineage: Eukaryota; Fungi; Neocallimastigomycota; Neocallimastigomycetes; Neocallimastigales. The record is from RNAcentral.